Molecule: ribosomal RNA, 253 nt
Filed under: uncultured bacterium
Lineage: Bacteria
Description: partial 16S ribosomal RNA
Rfam family: Bacterial small subunit ribosomal RNA
Source: RNAcentral
UACGAAGGGGGCUAGCGUUGCUCGGAAUCACUGGGCGUAAAGCGCACGUAGGCGGACUCUUAAGUCGGGGGUGAAAUCCUGGAGCUCAACUCCAGAACUGCCUUUGAUACUGAGGAUCUUGAGUUCGGGAGAGGUGAGUGGAACUGCGAGUGUAGAGGUGAAAUUCGUAGAUAUUCGCAAGAACACCAGUGGCGAAGGCGGCUCACUGGCCCGAUACUGACGCUGAGGCACGAAAGCGUGGGGAGCAAACAGG